This 352-nucleotide unclassified non-coding RNA is filed under the name soil metagenome. RNAcentral describes it as "partial contains 5.8S ribosomal RNA, internal transcribed spacer 2, and large subunit ribosomal RNA". The stretch from base 1 to 120 matches the Rfam family "5.8S ribosomal RNA", at positions 35 to 154 of the family's 154-position model. The record is from RNAcentral.
GAUGAAGAACGCAGCGAAAUGCGAUAAGUAAUGUGAAUUGCAGAAUUCAGUGAAUCAUCGAAUCUUUGAACGCACAUUGCGCCCGCCAGUAUUCUGGCGGGCAUGCCUGUUCGAGCGUCAUUACAACCCUCAGGCCCCCGGGCCUGGCGUUGGGGAUCGGCGGAGCCCCCCGUGGGCACACGCCGUCCCCCAAAUGCAGUGGCGGUCCCGCCGCAGCUUCCAUCGCGAAGUAGCUAACACCUCGCGACUGGAGAGCGGCGCGGCCACGCCGUAAAACACCCAACUCUUCUGAAGUUGACCUCGAAUCAGGUAGGAAUACCCGCUGAACUUAAGCAUAUCAAUAAGCGGAGGA